AAUUUUACCAAAGGAGGCCACAGUUCGUUGGAGGUAACAUUGGGAGGAAGAGGAGAACAGAGGGACAUCCGGGAGGGAGCCAAGGACGACCCAGCCCAGUGGAGUUCCAUAUUUCUCUUUGGAGGAACGAAGAGAUGCUGUUUGCGUGGAUAGGUCCUCCGAUAAGCUUCUUUGUAUAAGCUUUUUUUCUAUAGGACUGAAGAGACUCAGAAUUAGCCUCUUCCAAAUCUCAUUUUAUUAUGUGAAAUAAAAGAAGAUGGUGGAAGAU
RNAcentral lists this long non-coding RNA (268 nucleotides) under Monodelphis domestica (gray short-tailed opossum). RNAcentral describes it as "lncRNA (ENSMODG00000049290.1)". The record is from RNAcentral. Lineage: Eukaryota; Metazoa; Chordata; Mammalia; Didelphimorphia; Didelphidae.